Long non-coding RNA from Photinus pyralis (common eastern firefly), 391 nucleotides. RefSeq lists it as uncharacterized. The transcript is spliced from 2 exons. The record is from RefSeq and is a predicted model, not a curated record. Lineage: Eukaryota; Metazoa; Arthropoda; Insecta; Coleoptera; Lampyridae.
CCGCUUUGUCUCGUUCCCCCCAGCAGUAAAGAUGUCUAGCGCGUAAAAUAGAGCUCUGUGUAAAUUGAAUUAUAUAUUUAGUUGAGGUCAAGGUACAAAGGAUAUGCUCCGUUUGAUACAAUUCCAAAUAUUUUAAUAUCUACACACGCCAUGGUGUGGCAUUUGCAAGUUCAAGAUUAAAAAGUCUGGGACGCCUAUAGUUUUACGUUAUCGUUAUCUUUCAUUAUUAUAAUCAAGUUUGAGCAAUUUUGUACAUUUUCGAUAAGUAGCAUAUAGAGACAAUAGAUAGGAUAAUGCGUUUUGUUACACCUAUGGUCAUAAGGAGGUAAUGUCAGCUGGAAAAUUCGAUAUGUAAAGUGUAAACUUUGUUACAAUAAACAUAGCUGAUGGA